GAAUGUCCAGACUGCCUCAGCUAUCGAAAUAUCCCGGGGGUCCACUCAUCUUUGGUGUCUACAUGGACAGUGGUGACAGAUCUUCUGUGAAUAGGGAACAGAGGUCUACAGAGGUGAUGUAUUGGCCAUGUUCCUACAUCUCAUCGAUUACAGAGAUACUGCGCUCACAAUGCAUCCUAACAGACACCUAG
RNAcentral lists this long non-coding RNA (191 nucleotides) under Cavia porcellus (domestic guinea pig). Its description in RNAcentral is "lncRNA (ENSCPOG00000038863.1)". Lineage: Eukaryota; Metazoa; Chordata; Mammalia; Rodentia; Caviidae. The record is from RNAcentral.